AAUGAACGUUGGCGGCGUGGAUUAGGCAUGCAAGUCGAGCGAGAACCCGCAAGGGGGGACAGCGGCGAACGGGGUAGGACAACGUAGGUAACGUACCCUCGGGGCGAGGACAGCCACGGGAAACUGUGGGUAAUACUCGAUAAACUUCCCAAUCAUUAUGGAAGGGGAAGCAAUAGGUGUGAUUCCACCUGAGGAGCGGCUUACGCAGUAUCAGCUAGUUGGUGAGGUAACGGCUCACCAAGGCUACGACGCUUAGGGGGGUGUGAGAGCAUGGCCCCCACCACUGGCACUGAGACACUGGCCAGACACCUACGGGUGGCUGCAGUCGAGAAUCUUCGGCAAUGGACGCAAGUCUGACCGAGCGACGCCGCGUGCGGGAUGAAGGCCUUGGUUGUAACCGCUGUCAGAGGGAGUGAAGUGUACGGGAGUUCUCUCCUGUAUUUG
This 444-nucleotide ribosomal RNA is filed under the name uncultured bacterium. Its description in RNAcentral is "bacterial SSU rRNA". It matches the Rfam family "Bacterial small subunit ribosomal RNA", at positions 29 to 471 of the family's 1533-position model. The record is from RNAcentral.